GGUCUGUAUGUGAGCAUGAGGCAAACUGUUUCAAAGAAAAGAACCAACACACCAAUCUGGCGGUGAUGCAUGGAUGCCGAAGCUCUUCAGUGCAGACAGCAUUUAAACACCCUCACUUCUAGCAAAGCGCAUGGGCCAGAGACAUGGAAUCAGUGAUACAGUGACAGAAUAUGGACAAACCAAAUAAGACUUUAGCCCCUCCCCCUCCCAUUCAAUUUGUUGCACUUUGUUCCUGAGAAGCUUAUUCCACAUUUCUGGGGCCACCACAGAAAAUGUCCUACUCCUAAUAGAUGACAGCUUCACCUCCUGAGAGGACACAACCUGAAGCAAGAACUCAUUGAGGGUUUUGCUUUGUUUUUACAAUCAAGUGGUGUAUCGAUUUUAUGAAAUAAAUAAAUGGGCAAAUCUUAAAGCUCUCAAGGAGACAUACUGCACAGGGCGAGUGGCAGGGUCUGUAUUGAGGGAUGGGGCUUCUGGGUCAGCAGAGCUAGAGGGUGUUGACCUUCCUCCCUUGAUCUGCUCCAGGGCCCAACGCAAAGGCAGGGAACCAGGCAGCGUGCCACCUGGCCUCUCACCAAAGCAGGAACUGUACCUGAGGCCCAAAGCAGCCACACUCCUGCAUUGCAGGGGGUUGGACUAGAGGACAAUUCUAGGAAUCUGCAGUUCUACCAUACUGGACUGUAGUUCACCUCUGAAGGAACACCUGUGUGAAGCAUCAUUCUGGUAGAGCAGUCAUCCAUGGAUACCUUGUUUGUGGUGACCCUUUCCUGGAAGCUGGUGAAUGUCAGCUGGCUCUCCUUGGUGUGGAUCAACUGAUCUUCUUCCUUCAAAUCCUUGCGAGGUGCCAUAAAGACCAGUUCCAGAAGACUUCCCAGACUCCCUGUCUUGUUGGCCUCCCUUCUCAUAUGGUGUGCCUAGAGGCUUUGGCAAAUGCUACCUCACAACAGCAACCUACUGGUACUUAAAAGCUUGCACUGGCUGCCCAUAAGUUACUGGAAUAAGUUCUUGUAUUAAUUUGCAAGGACCUUAACGACUUGGCUCCAUGAUACUUCUCUGUUACUGUUCUUCCAUGGUUCAGAUGCAGGGCUCUUAGCCACCAGAAACCAUGCAGUCAGUACUGUGCGCCCGAUUCUGUGAAACUCCCUGCCACCUGAGAUUAGACAGGCUCUCUAGUGUUUGACAAAGACCUUUCUAUUCCAGCAGGCAAUUUAAUGAAGACUUCUGUUAUUGGGAUUAAUUUUAAUUGAAUUUUUCCACUGUAUGCUUUGUGUGAUUUUUAGGUACACCGCUUAGAGAUUUUGGUUAUUACUGGGUAAGUGGUAUAUAAUGAACAUACAUACAUACAUACAUACAUACAUACAUAACAGCAUUCCCAAAACCUUUAGGUAUUAGAUGGAGAACAGAUGGGUGAGAUGCUAUACACAAUGCAACAUAUUUUUAUUUAUUGCUCUAAGGCUCAACCCACUUUUCACUAUAUCAAGGGGAGGUCUAUUGCCAAAGGAUAUGGUACUGUUUGGAG
This 1519-nucleotide long non-coding RNA is filed under the name Podarcis lilfordi (Lilford's wall lizard). Lineage: Eukaryota; Metazoa; Chordata; Lepidosauria; Squamata; Lacertidae. The record is from RNAcentral.